Molecule: ribosomal RNA, 253 nt
Filed under: uncultured prokaryote
Description: partial 16S ribosomal RNA
Rfam family: Bacterial small subunit ribosomal RNA
Source: RNAcentral
UACGUAGGCAGCGAGCGUUGUUCGGAAUUAUUGGGCGUAAAGGGCGCGUAGGCGGCGCGGUAAGUCACCUGUGAAAUCUCCUGGCUCAACUGGGAGCUUGCAGGCGAAACUGCCGUGCUGGAGUGUGGGAGAGGUGCGUGGAAUUCCCGGUGUAGCGGUGAAAUUCGUAGAUAUUCGGCGGAACACCAGUGGCGAAGGCGACUCACUGGCCCGAUACUGACGCUGAUGCGCGAAAGCGUGGGGAGCAAACAGG